Molecule: ribosomal RNA, 467 nt
Filed under: uncultured bacterium
Lineage: Bacteria
Description: partial 16S ribosomal RNA
Rfam family: Bacterial small subunit ribosomal RNA
Source: RNAcentral
GACGAACGCUGGCGGCGUGCCUAACACAUGCAAGUCGAACGAUGACGUCGGAGCUUGUUCGGCCUGAUUAGGGGCGAAGGGGUGAGUAACCCGUGAGCAACCUGCCCUUCACUGUGGGAUGACCUCAGGCAAUCGGGGCUAAUCCCGGAUAUGAGCUCCCGUCGCUUGGCGGGCGUUGGAUCGUUUUGCGGUGUGGGAUGGGAUCGCGGUCUAUCGGUUUGUUUGGGUGGUAGUGGCAAACCAAGGCGAUGACGGGCAGCGGGCCUGGGAGGGCGGCCGGCCACGCUGCGACUGAGACACGGCCCAGACUCGAAUGGGAGGCAACGGUGGAGAAUAUUGCACAAGGGGAGAGAGCCUGAUGCGACGACGCCGCGUGGGGGAAGACGGGCUUCGGGUAGUGAACCACAGUCAGCUUAGACGAAGCGAUAGUGACGGUACCGGCAGAAGAAGCGCCGGCUAACUACGUG